ACAGAAACGACCGAAUUGCCCUUUGCCAGCUCCGUUGGUUUGGUCUUGGGUCCUGCGCAAUGAGGAUCUGUGAACCUCGUCAGGUCCGGAAGGAAGCAGCGAUAAGCGGAGCCCCUUAUGUGCCGCAGAGCAGCCUUUGCCGCUGCCGGCGGGGCUGGCAAAGGGCAAUUUUCUGU
RNAcentral lists this signal recognition particle RNA (176 nucleotides) under Bacillota bacterium. RNAcentral describes it as "signal recognition particle sRNA large type". The stretch from base 44 to 143 matches the Rfam family "Bacterial small signal recognition particle RNA". From Rfam's summary of the family: The signal recognition particle (SRP) is a universally conserved ribonucleoprotein involved in the co-translational targeting of proteins to membranes. Archaeal SRP consists of a 7S RNA and homologues of the eukaryotic SRP19 and SRP54 proteins. The record is from RNAcentral. Lineage: Bacteria; Bacillati; Bacillota.